Non-coding RNA from Gasterosteus aculeatus aculeatus (three-spined stickleback), 515 nucleotides. The record is from RefSeq and is a predicted model, not a curated record. Lineage: Eukaryota; Metazoa; Chordata; Actinopteri; Perciformes; Gasterosteidae.
GGACCAGCUCCGUCAGCUCGGCCUGGGGAGGGAGGAGGAGACUGUGACGGGGCAGCGAGCACCACCUCAGACACAAGGCGUCUUUCAUGUGCUAUUGAACCAGACGUGUCCCGUGUUCCCCACACAUUGACGGUGGAUCUUUGGGAAACACUGCAUGUCCCUUUUAUAGUAACUGGUCCCUGGGUAUCAUUUAAAGGUAAGUGAAGGUCACGGAGAGGGGAGGAGCUUCUAUUCUAAUGGCAGCUCGGGGGGGUCGCAUUGUUUACAGAGAAACCAUAGGAACGCACACAUCUGGAUCCCACCAUUAUAGCAUCUGUUGGGCUGCACACACAUUAUUAUCGCAGUGCAUUUGAAUGGGAGGAAGUCGAUACAGACCCCAGUGGACACCGUGAGACAUCCAGUCAACAUUAUUCAUGUUGGACUUGGAUACCUUCAAUAUUUUUAUGUAAAACUAUAGCCAGCAGUUCUUUGCUUCAAGUACUUUUAACUCUUUACUUAAUAAAUGGAAAUACGUA